UGGGGAAUAUUGCACAAUGGGGGAAACCCUGAUGCAGCGACGCCGCGUGAGUGAAGAAGUAAUUCGUUAUGUAAAGCUCUAUCAGCAAGGAAGAAAGAAGACGGUACUUGACUAAGAAGCCCCGGCUAAAUACGUGCCAGCAGCCGCGGUAAUACGUAUGGGGCAAGCGUUAUCCGGAUUUACUGGGUGUAAAGGGAGCGUAGACGGCAUGGCAAGUCUGAUGUGAAAGCCCAGGGCUCAACCGUGGGACUGCAUUGGAAACUGUCUAGCUGGAGUGCGGGAGAGGUAAGUGGAAUUCCUAGUGUAGCGGUGAAAUGCGUAGAUAUUAGGAGGAACACCAGUGGCGAAGGCGGCUUACUGGACCGUAACUGACGUUGAGGCUCGAAAGCGUGGGGAGCAAACAGG
RNAcentral lists this ribosomal RNA (405 nucleotides) under uncultured bacterium. RNAcentral describes it as "bacterial SSU rRNA". It matches the Rfam family "Bacterial small subunit ribosomal RNA", at positions 355 to 776 of the family's 1533-position model. The record is from RNAcentral.